Molecule: long non-coding RNA, 306 nt
Organism: Cebus imitator (Panamanian white-faced capuchin)
Lineage: Eukaryota; Metazoa; Chordata; Mammalia; Primates; Cebidae
Exons: 4
Source: RefSeq, a predicted model, not a curated record
CUUUAUGAAUAGAGUCUCAGGAAGGGUAAGUGGCUUGUUCAAGUUCUCAUGGCCAAGAAGGUGGGAAGCUGAGAUUUUAACCAAGAUGUCUCUGUGACUUUAAUAAAUUAAGGGGAGAGAUAGAGAAUGAGGAUGAUAUUAUUGUUAGUAUAAGUUCUUGCACUGAAUGAUGUCAGCAAGUUGAGGCAGAGCAUUGGUGAGAAUGAGACUGGGCUGAAUCUGGAUGAGUAGAGAUCCUGCCUUGUUGCCAACUCUAGGAAUGACCUGGUCCUGUAAAACCUCAAUCUAUUGAUCAUGGAUUUUUCA